RNAcentral lists this ribosomal RNA (264 nucleotides) under uncultured bacterium. Its description in RNAcentral is "partial 16S ribosomal RNA". It matches the Rfam family "Bacterial small subunit ribosomal RNA", at positions 8 to 299 of the family's 1533-position model. The record is from RNAcentral.
AGAGUUUGAUCAUGGCUCAGAACGUACGCUGGCGGCACGCCUAACACAUGCAAGUCGAACGAAGUAGCAAUACUUAGUGGCAGACGGGUGAGUAACAUGUGGGUAUCUGCCCUUUGGCCUGGAAUAACACGAGGAAACUUGUGCUAAUACCGGAUAAGUCUUUACGGAGAAAGCUUUAUGCACCAUUGGAUGAGCCCGCACUUGAUUAGUUUGUUGGUGGGGUAAUGGCCUACCAAGACUGUGAUCAAUAGCUGAUUUGAGAGG